GCGUCUUACCAGAACGGGUCCGACGGUGAGGGACGAAAGCUGGGGGCACGAACCGGAUUAAAUACCCGGGUAGUCCCAGCUGUAAACGAUGCUCGUUAGGUGUCAGGAACGGUGCGACUGUUUCUGGUGCCGAAGGGAAGCCGUGAAACGAGCCACCUGGGAAGUACGGCCGCAAGGCUGAAACUUAAAGGAAUUGGCGGGGGAGCACUACAACGGGUGGAGCCUGCGGUUUAAUUGGACUCAACGCCGGAAAACUCACCGGGGGCGACAGCAAUAUGUAGGUCAGGUUAAAGGUCUUACCUGAAUCGCUGAGAGGAGGUGCAUGGCCGUCGUCAGUUCGUACUGUGAAGCAUCCUGUUAAGUCAGGCAACGAGCAAGACCCGUGCCCACUGUUACCAGCAUAUCCUUUAUGGAUGAUGGGGACUUUGUGGGGACCGCUGCUGCUAAAGCAGAGGAAGGUGCGGGCUACGGUAGGUCAGUAUGCCCCGAAUCUCCCGGGCUACACGCGGGCUACAAUGGUUGGGACAAUGGGUAUCUACUCCGAAAGGAGUUGGCAAUCUCUUAAACCCAAUCGUAGUUCGAAUUGAGGGCUGUAACUCGCCCUCAUGAAGCUGGAAUCCGUAGUAAUCGCGUUUCAACAUAGCGCA
RNAcentral lists this ribosomal RNA (647 nucleotides) under uncultured archaeon. RNAcentral describes it as "bacterial SSU rRNA". It matches the Rfam family "Archaeal small subunit ribosomal RNA", at positions 672 to 1317 of the family's 1478-position model. The record is from RNAcentral.